GACGUAGGGGGCGAGCGUUGUCCGGAAUUACUGGGCGUAAAGAGCGUGUAGGCGGGCUGUUAAGUCAGGUGUGAAAUACCGCAGCUCAACUGCGGGGUGGCACUUGAUACUGGCAGUCUUGAGGGCAGGAGAGGGAAGUGGAAGUCCUGGUGUAGCGGUGAAAUGCGUAGAUAUCAGGAGGAACACCAGUGGCGAAGGCGGCUUCCUGGACUGACCCUGACGCUGAGACGCGAAAGCGUGGGGAGCAAACAGG
Molecule: ribosomal RNA, 253 nt
Filed under: uncultured bacterium
Lineage: Bacteria
Description: partial 16S ribosomal RNA
Rfam family: Bacterial small subunit ribosomal RNA
Source: RNAcentral